GAUGAACGCUGGCGGCGUGCCUAAUACAUGCCAGUCGAGCGAACGGACGAGAAGCUUUCUUCUCUGAUGUUAGCGGCGGACGGGUGAGUAACACGUGGAUAACCUACCUAUAAGACUGGGAUAACUUCGGGAAACCGGAGCUAAUACCGGAUAAUAUUUUGAACCGCAUUGUUCAAAAGUGAAAGACGGUCUUUCUUUCACUUAUAGAUGGAUCCGCGCUGCAUUAGUUAGUUGGUAAGGUAACGGCUUACCAAGGCAACGAUGCAUAGCCGACCUGAGAGGGCGAUCGGCCACACGGGAACUGAGACACGGUACAGACUCCUACGGGAGGCAGCAGUAGGGAAUCUUACGCAAUGGGCGAAAGCCUGACGGAGCAACGCCGCGGGAGUGAUGAAGGUCUUCGGAUCGUAAAACUCUGUUAUUAGGGAAGAACAUAUGUGUAAGUAACUGUGCACAUCUUGACGGUACCUAAUCAGAAAGCCACGGCUAACUACGUG
RNAcentral lists this ribosomal RNA (497 nucleotides) under uncultured bacterium. RNAcentral describes it as "partial 16S ribosomal RNA". It matches the Rfam family "Bacterial small subunit ribosomal RNA", at positions 28 to 507 of the family's 1533-position model. The record is from RNAcentral.